This 584-nucleotide ribosomal RNA is filed under the name uncultured Dokdonella sp. Its description in RNAcentral is "bacterial SSU rRNA". It matches the Rfam family "Bacterial small subunit ribosomal RNA", at positions 102 to 683 of the family's 1533-position model. The record is from RNAcentral. Lineage: Bacteria; Pseudomonadati; Pseudomonadota; Gammaproteobacteria; Lysobacterales; Rhodanobacteraceae.
ACGGGUGAGGAAUACAUCGGAAUCUGCCUUGUUGUGGGGGAUAACGUAGGGAAACUUACGCUAAUACCGCAUAAGACCGAAAGGUGAAAGUGGGGGACCGCAAGGCCUCACGCGACAAGAUGAGCCGAUGUCGGAUUAGCUAGUUGGUGAGGUAAUGGCUCACCAAGGCGACGAUCCGUAGCUGGUCUGAGAGGAUGAUCAGCCACGCUGGAACUGAGACACGGUCCAGACUCCUACGGGAGGCAGCAGUGGGGAAUAUUGGACAAUGGGCGCAAGCCUGAUCCAGCCAUGCCGCGUGGGUGAAGAAGGCCUUCGGGUUGUAAAGCCCUUUUGUUGGGGAAGAAAUCGUACGGGGUAAUAUCCCGUGCGGAUGACGGUACCCAAGGAAUAAGCACCGGCUAACUUCGUGCCAGCAGCCGCGGUAAUACGAAGGUGCAAGCGUUACUCGGAAUUACUGGGCGUAAAGCGUGCGUAGGCGGUUCGUUAAGUCUGUCGUGAAAGCCCUGGGCUCAACCUGGGAAUUGCGAUGGAUACUGGCGAGCUAGAGUACGGUAGAGGAUGGUGGAAUUCCCGGUGUAGCGGUG